Long non-coding RNA from Venturia canescens, 1511 nucleotides. RefSeq lists it as uncharacterized. The transcript has 3 exons. Lineage: Eukaryota; Metazoa; Arthropoda; Insecta; Hymenoptera; Ichneumonidae. The record is from RefSeq and is a predicted model, not a curated record.
CUGCUGCUGCUGCACAGCGAAAAACUCGUGAGUGAGACAAUCUGAGAAAGGAAAGAGAAGCCAAAAGUGGCUACGCGCAGUAGCGUAAGCACUAACGUGAACGAUGAACAUUUGCAUUGAGAUGGGAAGAAGCAACGAUUUACUCAUUGCCACUGUGCUACGCCACUGUGUUUACAUUAUUUUUCAAUUUCUCUCCUCACAUUUUUUCUGCUGUUUUGUUGACUAUUGAUUGUUCCUGUUUUAUCGACGAAUGAUAUGUUGAAUGCUUACCAAAAUCACCACCAGGAGGGAGUGAACGGCAUUUUCGCGCCUCUAAUACCGAGGCGCGGGACGUGACGAUCACGCAGUGUAAGCGUCUGUUGUUCAACAUGCCAUACGAAUUAUCGUUCGUAGAUUCCAGAGAAAUUGAGAAAACAGGGCACAAAAUACGACACGUGGAAUUCUACUUCGGCAACGUUAGGACUCGGGGCUUACCGUAGGGAAGAUCCUGACCAACGAAGAAGCCCCCUCGUGUAGAUGUAUGAGGGGGCUGCGAAAUGGUCCUACUAAUAUUGUGUUCUCGUCUUGGUAGAGAGAGACAAAACUUUUUUCUGGGUGGAACAGAACGUUCAUCGGAGUCUUCUUCUGCUUCUAAUACUGUCAUUUUUCGCUAACCUAAAAUGAGAAAUACCAAAACUUCAGUUUUGAAGGUUUGCGGAGGCAGAAAAAACAGUAUUAUUACUCUAUGGAUAAAAAAAAAAUACAGAACAUUCACAACGAAAAUUUUUAGGGGAGAUAAGAGGGACGUCCGGAAAAUAUGUCAAUUUGAUGGGCAAAAUAUUUUUUAAAUCAUAAAGAAAACUCGAAAAAAAUUUGGAAACGUAGUGCGAACAAGCAUCUGGCGAUGUAGUCGGGCAAUAUAUGCAUGCAUACGCAUACAGCAAUGUACAUAUGAAUAUAUAUUGUUCGUGUGUAUAUACAUAUAUGUACACGCGUAUAUAAUUAAAGGUACAUAUAUUGAGAAUAGCCUCGAGGCCUUUCACAUUCUGUACAUAUUAAACUCGUAAAUAUUGUUUAGGAAAGGGAUGCAUUCUGCAGAUAUCCGUCUUACUUACGUAUUAUCGGGUAGAGGAGUCAUGGAAUAAAUAAGUUUACGGGUUAGAGCGUCACUUCUCCGCAAUUAAUGGUCGCACAAUGUUUGUCUUUUAGUUCGCAAACCAGAACUGUUUUUCUUUUAUGAUUUUUUUGUAACGUUCCCGUGAAUACGGUGAAGACUACAUUUUAUACAACUGUUAAGAAAACGGGUACCACUUUUCACGCAGUUCCGAACUAUUUUUUUCUUUUCUUCUCUCCAAUGGCCAUUGACCACCACAGAAGGAUUUUUCACCUAUUCUCAAAGUAUGCUUGUGUCUGUGUGUAUGUGUGCGUACAAUGUGGAGUUCUCUCGCUUACGGUUACACUGAGUUCACACCCCGCUACGUUUCACACAAUCCAUAUAUGUAUAUGUUUAAUAUAUGUACAUUGAGAAUUCA